Cucurbita pepo subsp. pepo (vegetable marrow) is the source of this 1175-nucleotide RNA transcript. RefSeq lists it as uncharacterized. The record is from RefSeq and is a predicted model, not a curated record. Lineage: Eukaryota; Viridiplantae; Streptophyta; Magnoliopsida; Cucurbitales; Cucurbitaceae.
UCUUUUAGCAAGUUAUAUUCCAAUAGGUUAUAAUAUUCCAACCAAGUGGGUCCCCUCCUCUAGUCUCCACUCCCUUUUGUGCGCAGGCAAAUUGCAGAAGAAGCUCUGUCCAUGGCCUUGGCCCCAUUCGCACACAGUCACCAUUCAUGAUCCCAAUAAAAGCUUGCAUUUACAUUACGACAAAACCCUCCAUUAAUUUCUCAUCACUCUCCUCUCUUUCUCACUCUCUACUGUUGAAGAAACACGCCCAAAACAACCCCACUUUCUCCCCCAAAAAUGAAACCCGACCUUUCACCUACAAUGGCCACACUGAAGAAGGACUCUCCAUCAGAAACUGGGGUCUCCUUUUUCCUCUCAAGAAAAGCUCGCUACAAGUUCUGGGUAUUGGCCGCCAUUCUACUCCUCGCUUUCUGGUCCAUGUUCACCGGCUCCGUCUCCCUCAAAUGGUCCGCCGGAACUUUCGCCAGAUUCUACGACGGCCCCCGCAAGCCGAUCUUCGACGAUCUUGACAUUCUGGUGAUCCUUUUAGCUAUUUCCACGGAAGUUGAAGAGCGGGAGAGGGAUGUCCGGCACAUGUGGAAUCUGUACUCCCAUGGAGGCGGCGGCCGGUUGCCGCGAUUCUGGUUGGAGGCUUUUGAAGCGGCGUACGAGGAUUUGAUCGGCGAUGUUCCCGCCGUUCGAGAUGCUGCCCUUUUGGAGAUCGCUAGGAUGUCUCUGCAAUCUGUUCAUGUCGACCCAAUCCCGAUCAAAUCCAAGCCGUAACAACUAUACUUAUCAAAAGUGGAUGUCUCGAUCAUGCUUGUUCCAAACUCCUUCUUACUUGUUUUUAAGUUAGGUAUGCACUUACUAAUAUUGUUGUGUUAAUCAUGCUUGUUCCAAACUCUUUCUUACUUGUUUUUAAGUUAGGUGUAUGAUUGGGAAGGUGUAUGAUUGGAAAGGUGUAUGAUCAAUAACCAAAAUCAUAUCUAACGGUGCUUCAAUCCGAGUUAUAUGCUAUCAAAACAGUUGUUCAACAUAUUUCAUCGCUCUUACUCUCAAACGUGCCUGAGGCUCAAGCCUAUUGUUCGUGAAGACCAAAUUUUACACGGCCAACUCUAAAGUAGAACAAGUAUUGUACAAUCGUUAUUACUGAUAUAGUGAAAUAGAAUGAAAGGUAAAACAGUGGUUGUAUCCAA